This 2255-nucleotide long non-coding RNA is filed under the name Homo sapiens (human). Its description in RNAcentral is "HSALNT0305527". Lineage: Eukaryota; Metazoa; Chordata; Mammalia; Primates; Hominidae. The record is from RNAcentral.
GGGUUAUCACGGGAGUGGAACUAGUGGCUUUAUAAGAAGAGGAAGAGAAACCUGAGCUAAAGCACUCACAGCCCCUCACCAUGUAAUAACCCGCACCACCUCGGGACUCUGCAGAAAAUGCCCACCAGCUAGAAGGCUCUCACCAGAGGUGGCCCUUUGACUCUGGACUUCUUGGCCCUCACGCCUAUAAGAAAAAAAUUCCUUUUUACAAUAAUUUAUCCAGUUUCAGGUAUUCUGUUAUAAACAAAAGAAAAUGGACUAAUACACUCUUGCUGCCAAUUGGGGGAAAGUGACAGUUAAGGUGAUAUAUUCCCAAGUGCCUCAGACUCCAAAUCACAAAGAAUUUCAGAGCGAGCCAGAUUCUCUCAUGGUUCUGUUCAGAAUGUUUCAUAAGAAUGACCUUGCAAACUGAAGCUUUCAACCUGGCCUGGGAACCUUAAGAAUAUUUUAUGAACAAUCAAUCCACCGAACUGCACCUGUCAGCAGACCCCGGUUAACUGCACAGAGUACCUGAAAGCCAUCCCCUGUCUGAAUUCACACAGAAAACUUUUAGAGCCACGGCACUGUGAUGGAGGGAAAGAAGGUGUGGACCACACCUCAUGAGAUGUGCAAACAACAUGGCUCAUGACAAACCCAGCAGAAUGCUCAAUCUUUAGAAACCCAAGAUGGCUACAGCAAUACAGACCAUGACAAUUUUUGGUUGCAACAUAAAACGGAUUUCUCACUAUGAACCUUAGAGAAACAGCUUGACAAUCUUUGUCCUGGACAGCAAGUCUUCUUAGAGCUGGGGCCAAGUGACUUCUCCUUGACUCCUCUGAGCAAAGCCCAGCGCCAGCCACAGCACAGGAACCUGGGCAGGCAGUCCACCCUCAGGGCCUGCCUGUGACCACUGCUAACCUGUGCGGAACAAACAUGUGCUGAAGGAUUUGAGUUCUUCAGAGGACUUGGGGAACUGACUUAUAGAAAAUGCUCAGCACGUGGCCUAGCACAAGGCAUUCUUUAAAUCUGAGUCUCCUCCCCAUUCCAUCUCUCAUCCCUUUUCCUGAAUUCUGUCUUUACUGAUUUAUCUAGUCAUCCAGCAAAGAACAAAUCACUCCAAAGCCAUGACAGGCUACAACACAACUAGUUACUCCAACACUGAGAGUCCUAUGACUCCCUCCAUAAAAUCAACUGAGUAGAAUACUGAACAGCUCUUCUGAACAUUUUCAGACAAAUCUCUAUUCUAGAAACCUUUCCACUGGGGAACUACCUCAAACUCUUCAAUUAUUUACUAGGAGAUCAAACAUAAGCACAGAAGCACAACAGGCAAAUUUCACUUAAGCUUGGCUUUUGUCCUCUGGGGUUUUAUUAUUGUUCAGGUUUUGUCUUUCAAUGAUGUGGCCUGGUACAGAGAACCCUCUCCUGCUUUCGAUUUUAUUCUUUCAGAAUCUGGAAAGGAGGUCAGCUGUCCUUUCCAGGCUUCAGUUCCUCCAUCUGUAAAAUGAAGUUGUUCUAAAUUAUUUUUCAUGUCUCUUCUAAAUUUAAAAUGUUAUAUGCACACAUCUUUUUGAGUCCCAAUGACAGUCCCAACACAGGCCAAGCUAAUCACGUGACUGACACUUCCCCAGAGGCACUUGGCUGAGGCUCCUGGGGUUGGGGAUGGGCAAUGUACCUGCCCCAUCUGGUGUCACACUCCUAAGGUGUGCCCUCCCUCCCAACUGACCCCUUUCAAAUCAAGUACAAGGCAUCUCUUCUCAACUGGAGGCUUCCCCCAAUGCCAAGUAGCCUUCACUUCUCUCUCCCUUCUCUGACCUCUAACCACAACACUCAAGGAUAACAUAAGUGGGCACUUGAUUUUUCUCCACUUUUUUCAUAGGAUAGUUUAUAUUAUGCUGAACAGGCUGUCAAGAAACGACCGCCUGAUGAUUUGUUGAAAGAGUCUACAUCACAUUGAAAAAGGAGAUGUAUAAAGCAACAAGACUUUGUCAAAGGCCAGUAGCACUUUUAAAGAGGAGGCAGAAAGAAUCAGCAGAAACCUCAUGUCUGGAUUGAGCAUCACCUCUUCCAUUCCAGAAUUUCACUCAUGCUUUCAAACAUACCAUGCUUUUAGCCAAAAAAUGAAAAAUUAACAUGCCGACACACUUAAUGAAUUCUCUUAUUAAAAAAUAUGCUAACUUGUUCUAGCAUAGAAAGCUUAGAGGUAGGAUAUGGAAAUCAAAAAUAAAUUUGCUGCUUUAAUUUCUUUUAACUUCCAACUUUUUGUAAAACAAAAAGGC